RNAcentral lists this ribosomal RNA (289 nucleotides) under uncultured bacterium. Its description in RNAcentral is "partial 16S ribosomal RNA". It matches the Rfam family "Bacterial small subunit ribosomal RNA", at positions 332 to 620 of the family's 1533-position model. The record is from RNAcentral.
CGGCCUACGGGGGGCAGCAGUGAGGAAUAUUGGUCAAUGGGCUUACGCCUGAACCAGCCAAGUCGCGUGAGGGAAGACUGCCCUAUGGGUUGUAAACCUCUUUUGUCAGGGAGCAACGCCGGCUACGUGUAGCCGGACUGAGAGUACCUGAAGAAAAAGCAUCGGCUAACUCCGUGCCAGCAGCCGCGGUAAUACGGAGGAUGCGAGCGUUAUCCGGAUUUAUUGGGUUUAAAGGGUGCGUAGGCGGGCCUUCAGGCCGGCGGUAAAAUUGCGGGGCUCAACCCCGCCG